Pecten maximus is the source of this 2299-nucleotide long non-coding RNA. RefSeq lists it as uncharacterized. The transcript has 2 exons. Lineage: Eukaryota; Metazoa; Mollusca; Bivalvia; Pectinida; Pectinidae. The record is from RefSeq and is a predicted model, not a curated record.
UAUAACGAGCGUGGCGACGACUGUCUGGUAUUUUUUUUUACAUUCGCGAGUUUGCUUGUGUACUCGUCAAGUUGUGUCAACUUGUCACCCGAUCACCGCGAGUGAUCACAGAUUGCAAAGUCAGACUCAGAGUGAGACAAAAUCAAGUACACACAUACCAUCAGAAGUUAUUGCUCAAAGUUCUAAGGAACCAGUGGGAAAACUUUUUGUUGAUAAAGACAUUUUCAGCGAGAACUUUUCAAAUGCUUUUAAGCAGAGUGUGUUAGACAUACAUAAUGACAGUAUAAAUAAGUUAUUCAAAUCUUCUGUUUGUGAAAUUGCAAAGUUGUGGAGAUUAAUUCUGUGGUCAAAUUAUUUUUUUAAGAAUUGUUUUUGUCUUUGUUUUCUGCGGACAUUAACCUGUGUUUAUCCCAAGAUCGCGAAUCAUUUUUUAAUCAUUUGCAUCGUGUACGUGUUUGCAUUGAUACUGAAAAACAGAUACAUGAACUAUUUUCAGGCCAAGGAUGUUUAGGCAGUGACUCUGACGUAAAUGAAUUUGGGCAGUAAUUACUUUUAGGCUUGGUUGAACAAUUGCUGAAUUUACAAGUUGCUUAUUAUAAACAAAUUUCCACCACUCAGCAAUCAGAAUUUUCAAAUUCAGAUCAAUCCAUUUUAUUCUAUAUAUCUGGGUAUAUUAUCAGAGCACUUCGCAAACGCUACAUUAAACUUAAGUCUGAAGUUAAGGACAGUAAAUUAGCUUGUGUUACUAAGCUACAGUGCAAGUCUGACCGAUGCUCCUUUCUUGACAAAUUCAAAGAUUGUGGUGGCCUUAUUUUUCCCAGUGGCAGCUUUUAUUUACUUGUUCGAGAACUUGAAAAUGUGGUGCGCUGCAAUGUUGACUUGAAUCAUCUGUCUUCAAAUUCACUAAACUGUCUGCACCUUAAAGAGAAAAUCAUAGAGUCUUUUAUGGUGAAAUAUUAUGUCAAAGACAUCUUCUCAACUCAGGACAGUGGUACUCAUGUACAUGUGUGUGUGUUGGAGGAUAUAGUUUCGUUAUUCCUACGGGUUCGAGGUUUUUGCUGUGGUGAGAGUAGAGCGCAACAAGUUAGCGUUGUCGCAAAAACAUAAAAAGAAAAUGAAACCGUCAGCUGGCCUGAGAAAGUCCAUCAUGCCAAGAUCAUGACUGAGUAUGUAGCGCAGCAUUUUUUGUAGAUACUUGUGUACCAUUUUUUCACUGGCAUGCAGAUUUUUCUUUUUAAUUUACUAGGUAAAUGCAUGACAAAAUAUUUCUUCUACGAAAAGUUUGAUAUGAAUUUAUAUAUAUAACACGAACAGAAAAUAUGGUACACGUAUACGUAUCUAUAUAUAUAUAUAUAUAGGUAAGCAUUUUUGUGUACAAAUGAAGCACUUGAUCAGCUGUUUGUAAAUAAUGUAUAUAAAGUAACCGGUAUCAUAAUUAGUAUAUUAAUUCAUCUUUAAUUUACUGCCGGAGUUGAAUGGUUUAAUAUCAUCAAUUUAUACAUAUCAUAAAAGGAUAUAUAUGUAUUUUACAAAUUUACUCUUUGACUUAUUUCACUCCUCCAUUUACAUAAUGCUCCAUAUUGCAAUUGUAGUAUCGACCCAGAAAUAAUUAAAGAAAAAAAGAAACACACAACAUAUUAUUUUAGUGAAAAACAUUAAACCUUUUCCAAGAGUUCAUGACAAUGUGUAAUCAAUGAUUUCAAAUGUUCUUAUAUUUGACAAUGCAUACAAUGUUGUAGAAUUUUUAAGCUGACAGUUUAACCACUCUUCAAUUUUUUGUUUUUACAAAAGAAAAAAAGUAAGAGGAAUUUCGAAUUCCAAAAUGAAUAGAUGUCACUAUUAUGAAUUUCCAUUCAUUUGCAUAUAAAAGAGGCAUUUUCCCAAUCUAUUCAAACAUUAAUGAAAAGGAAUCAUGAAAAUGAACUGUUUGUUCGAGCCUUGCUAUUUGUCAGCAUGCAUAUGCAUAACAUCUUAAAUCAAGAUUCUAUGAAAUUAUUCUUUCAAUCCAAGCUCAUCACAUAUAUCAACAAGUACGUAAUCAUAAUAUACAUAGCCCGAGUUAUAUAUAUAUAUUUAUGUGUUUAAGUUGAAGUCUGUUCAUGAUCACAUUGGUGUUGAAUCAUUGAAGUCAUAUCAAAAUCCAGUAAUUAUAUCAAAUAAACUAGACUACUACUACUUAUGCCACCACAACCACAUGACUAACUACCAUAAUCUUUCAUAAUGACCAGGAUAUGGCAUCAAGAUUGUCAUGUUGUACAUACUAUUUAUAUUGAAACACAUUAAAUACUUUCUAAAUCUA